GGCAAGGCUCAUAGGAGGGGGGGCAAAACUUAAACUUUAAGAGCAAGUUUAAGUGCAUAGAGAGGAAUUAGGGAAGGCCAUGGCAGGGUAGUGGUCAUGCCCAACAAUUAAGAGUGAUGGCACACUCCUGACCAACCUUUUUAGCCAAAGUUGGGAGUUAGGAUCCAUUUAGGAUCAGGUUCAAACCUGGGCAGCAAUAUGGAUACUGCUAGGCCAUGAGCCUUAACUCAAACACAUAGAAGGAAAUAGGGAUAGGGAUUCACAAUAGAAAAAUAUGCAAGGAAAGAACAUACAUAGUUAACAUUAAUCACUGAACAUGAACAACAGAGUAAACAUGAUUGCAGAAAACUGUAAAUAAACACACAGAGGUGAGGCAGGAAAGUUAAAUUAGAACAUACUAGUUUCAGGAAAAACAAACAAGUAAA
This 425-nucleotide long non-coding RNA is filed under the name Nicotiana benthamiana. RNAcentral describes it as "long non-coding RNA (NBEN_LNC038759)". The record is from RNAcentral. Lineage: Eukaryota; Viridiplantae; Streptophyta; Magnoliopsida; Solanales; Solanaceae.